GGCCUGAUGCCACGUCUCUGGUAGCCACGAGCAUUGACCGGAGAUGCUAUGAUUAGGCCGAUACAAAGGUGUUUCAAUGUUUCACAUGUCGAUAGGAACCUGGGGACGGCUUCUAUCUGUCCACAGAGCCGUUUUCUGUGAUUACAGUC
Non-coding RNA from Zea mays, 149 nucleotides. The record is from Rfam. NCBI's taxonomy places the organism in Eukaryota, Viridiplantae, Streptophyta, Magnoliopsida, Poales, Poaceae.